Molecule: ribosomal RNA, 253 nt
Filed under: uncultured bacterium
Lineage: Bacteria
Description: partial 16S ribosomal RNA
Rfam family: Bacterial small subunit ribosomal RNA
Source: RNAcentral
GACGAAGGGGGCUAGCGUUGUUCGGAAUUACUGGGCGUAAAGGGCGCGUAGGCGGUUUGUUAAGUCAGGCGUGAAAGCCCUGGGCUCAACCUGGGAUGUGCGCUUGAUACUGGCAAGCUUGAGUGCAGGAGAGGAUGGUGGAAUUCCCAGUGUAGAGGUGAAAUUCGUAGAUAUUGGGAAGAACACCGGUGGCGAAGGCGGCCAUCUGGACUGCAACUGACGCUGAGGCGCGAAAGCGUGGGGAGCAAACAGG